UGGGUAACCUGCCCAAGAGAUCGGGAUAACACCUGGAAACAGAUGCUAAUACCGGAUAACAACAGAUGAUGCCUAUCAACUGUUUAAAAGAUGGUUCUGCUAUCACUCUUGGAUGGACCUGCGGUGCAUUAGCUAGUUGGUAGGGUAACGGCCUACCAAGGCGAUGAUGCAUAGCCGAGUUGAGAGACUAAUCGGCCACAUUGGGACUGAGACACGGCCCAAACUCCUACGGGAGGCAGCAGGG
Molecule: ribosomal RNA, 244 nt
Filed under: uncultured Lactobacillus sp.
Lineage: Bacteria; Bacillati; Bacillota; Bacilli; Lactobacillales; Lactobacillaceae
Description: partial 16S ribosomal RNA
Rfam family: Bacterial small subunit ribosomal RNA
Source: RNAcentral